RNAcentral lists this microRNA (22 nucleotides) under Gallus gallus (chicken). RNAcentral's name for it is "gga-miR-6623-3p". Lineage: Eukaryota; Metazoa; Chordata; Aves; Galliformes; Phasianidae. The record is from miRBase by way of RNAcentral.
ACAGCUGGAGACCAUCUUUUCA